RNAcentral lists this ribosomal RNA (381 nucleotides) under uncultured archaeon. RNAcentral's name for it is "bacterial SSU rRNA". It matches the Rfam family "Archaeal small subunit ribosomal RNA", at positions 471 to 851 of the family's 1478-position model. The record is from RNAcentral.
UAAUACCAGCGCCACGAGUGGGAACUAUUAUUAUUGGGCCUAAAGCGUCCGUAGCCUGUUUAAUAAAUUUCUUGUGAAAUUGUUGAGCUUAACUUAACAACGUGCAGGAAAGACUGUUAAACUUGGGACUGGGAGGGGUUAGAAGUAUGUUUAGAGUAGCGGUAAAAUGUUAUAAUUCUAAAGAGACUACCAAUGGCGAAGGCAUCUAACCAGAACAGGUCCGACGGUGAGGGACGAAAGCUAGGGUAGCAAACCGGAUUAGAUACCCGAGUAGUCCUAGCUGUAAACGCUGCGAGCAAGAUGUUGCGUAUUCUUCGUGAAUAUGCAGUAUCGAAGAGAAGUCGUUAAGCUCGCCGCCUGGGAAGUAUGGUCGCAAGACUG